GAUUAGAUACCCUGGUAGUCCAUGCCGUAAACGUUGGGCACUAGGUGUGGGGGACAUUCCACGUUUUCCGCGCCGUAGCUAACGCAUUAAGUGCCCCGCCUGGGGAGUACGGCCGCAAGGCUAAAACUCAAAGGAAUUGACGGGGGCCCGCACAAGCGGCGGAGCAUGCGGAUUAAUUCGAUGCAACGCGAAGAACCUUACCAAGGCUUGACAUGGACCGGACCGCCGCAGAGAUGUGGUUUCUCCUUUUGGGGCCGGUUCACAGGUGGUGCAUGGUUGUCGUCAGCUCGUGUCGUGAGAUGUUGGGUUAAGUCCCGCAACGAGCGCAACCCUCGUUCCAUGUUGCCAGCGCGUAAUGGCGGGGACUCAUGGGAGACUGCCGGGGUCAACUCGGAGGAAGGUGGGGACGACGUCAAAUCAUCAUGCCCCUUAUGUCUUGGGCUUCACGCAUGCUACAAUGGCCGGUACAAAGGGUUGCGAUACUGUGAGGUGGAGCUAAUCCCAAAAAGCCGGUCUCAGUUCGGAUUGGGGUCUGCAACUCGACCCCAUGAAGUCGGAGUCGCUAGUAAUCGCAGAUCAGCAACGCUGCGGUGAAUACGUUCCCGGGCCUUGUACACACCGCCCGUCAAGUCACGAAAGUUGGUAACACCCGAAGCCGGUGGCCUAACCCCUUGUGGGAGGGAGCCGUCGAAGGUGGGACUGGCGAUUGGGACUAAGUCGUAACAAGG
RNAcentral lists this ribosomal RNA (728 nucleotides) under uncultured bacterium. RNAcentral describes it as "bacterial SSU rRNA". It matches the Rfam family "Bacterial small subunit ribosomal RNA", at positions 776 to 1496 of the family's 1533-position model. The record is from RNAcentral.